CGUUCUUUAUUCUUUACAGACAUACCUCCUUCUUGAAAGCUGUUUGCUCCAUGGAGUUUACCAUACUACUUUAGAGCCACAGUGGCUGCCUGAGGAUUGUGUUUAGUGUUUGCAAAAAUUCAUAUUAUUUCAAAACUCUUUCAAGAAAAAUGGAAACUGACAGCAGCAUAUCCAGGAGAGACGUACUUGCAAAGAUGAAAAAGAAUCUCAUAAAAAAAGAAACUCCACACACUUGAUAAGUCCCUAAUGAAGAGUCCCUCCCCAGCACCCUUGUAGGCCCCCUUCAGAUACUGGAAGGCUGCUGUGAGGUCUCCGUGCAGCUGUCUCUUCUUCAGGCUGAACAGCCCCAACUUUCUUAGCCUGUCUUCAUAUAGGAGAGGUACUGCCCUUGAGAGGUGCUGAAAGCCCCUUGGACUUGAAGAAUAUCCUGAAUUUCCACUGUCUUCAGUAGGAAAAGAAAAUACUCAGCACCAGGCUGAAAAGCAUGGAAGUACCCUUUCCACCUCUUUCCACUUCCCUGUCACUUACAAAUUCAAGGCUGAUGAUGUUUGGACUCGCAUAAAAUUUAGAAGUGAGUGGAAAAACACACCCAGCUGACCAAAAGGGAAAUUGCAUCCUCUACUUGCUACUGUCCUCCUCCCUGUGUUUACCUUCUUUCUGCAGCCUCAGUGCAGAAACUGAAGAAACUGCAGCCACAGCAUCCCACCAGAACACAAGUAGUCCUUGUGCAGAACCUGUCUGCAGCCCAUGAAGAGGAAGAUGAAGUCAGCGGCAACCUGGAUAUAAGUCAAGCACAGGGCAGGCAUGCCAAACAGAGUGGAAAUAAAUCAUGUUAAUGGAGCCUGCACUGGCAUUCCUGUUUGGGUGUCUUGGUGACCAUUACAUCUUACAAGUGGACUUAAACCAUCCUCAACUGAGAUAUCCUUCCAUUAUCUCUGCCUUCAUUGGGGUCUCUUCGUCUGUUGCUAAAAAGAUUUCAAAAGGGGCAAAAAUAGGAAAUGUACUAAAAUCCUCAUGUUUAACAUUGCCUAAAUAUGUAAGAAACCACUCCCUGGCAGCUGUGGCACAAUUGUCGGCCAAAUGAGUAAAAAAUGUGCAUCACAAUUUUUCUCUCUUUAGUCUGAGCAACCAAAUCUAUUCUGGAUUCUUCCAUGAUUUGUCACAAAUGGUAUGGCUGGCAUGCUCUGCAGUGAUAUGGUUGGUAUGGAAGGAAAGAGAAUGCUGUGCCUGUUUCUUGGUGGGAAAAAAAAAAAAAAAAGCCUUAAAAAAGCUCUGAGCACAGACUUGGACAUAGUUCAGUUUUCAUCAUGUUAACGAGGAACAGUAAUGUUAAAA
Long non-coding RNA from Pezoporus occidentalis (night parrot), 1335 nucleotides. RefSeq lists it as uncharacterized. Lineage: Eukaryota; Metazoa; Chordata; Aves; Psittaciformes; Psittacidae. The transcript is spliced from 8 exons. The record is from RefSeq and is a predicted model, not a curated record.